Molecule: long non-coding RNA, 1017 nt
Filed under: Canis lupus familiaris (dog)
Lineage: Eukaryota; Metazoa; Chordata; Mammalia; Carnivora; Canidae
Description: lncRNA (ENSCAFG00040024792.1)
Source: RNAcentral
CCGGACUUUGGGCCGGGGAGCGGCGCGCCAGGAGGGCCCGGGGCCAGAGACGCGGGGCCAGGAUCUGGGAAGAAGCAGGACGCCCGGGAUUCGGGGCGGACGCAGUCGAGGUGGCGGCCCGGGUCGCUAAGGACUGCGGAGGCGUCGGCGGGCUCAGAACUUGCCGAGCCGAGCGGAGACUCCAAGGCUGGGGCACCGGGGCUCUCGGAGAGGCCCCGCGCUCUGCCCUCCAGCGCCCCGGACCUGGGGUCUGAGCCCGUAAGUGCGCGGGGGCGCGGGGCCCCUCGGAGCCGGCGGGGAGGGGUCGGGGGCCGGGAGUCGGCGCGGGUGGCGGGGACCGAGAGGGCGCGGGGCGGGGGGCGCGCGGGGGGGCCCCCUCGGAGCCGGCCGGGGGGGGGGGUCGGGGGCCGGGAGUCGGCGCGGGUGGCGGGGACCGAGCCGGCCCGGGUGCGUGCGGGGGGGGAGGGCGGCGGGGUCGCGGGGGCUCCUCGGAGCCGGCGGGGGGGGUGUCGGCGCGGGUGGCGGGGACCGAGCGGGCGCGGGGCGGGGGGCGCGCGGGGGGGGCCCCCUCGGAGCCGGCCGGGGGGGGGGGUCGGGGGCCGGGAGUCGGCGCGGGUGGCGGGGACCGAGCCGGCCCGGGUGCGUGCGGGGGGGGAGGGCGGCGGGGUCGCGGGGGCUCCUUGGAGCCGGCGGGGGGGUGUCGGCGCGGGUGGCGGGGACCGAGCGGGCGCGGGGCGGGGGGCGCGCGCGGGGGGCCCCCUCGGAGCCGGCCGGGGGUGUUCGGGGGCCGGGAGUCUGCGCGGGUGGCGGGGACCGAGCGGGCCCGGGUGCGCGCGGGGGGGCGGCGGGGUCGCGGCGCCCCCCCCCCCCCGCGAGCGCCCGCCCCCGCCCCCGCCCCCGCCGCCCGCCGCCCGCCGCCCGCCGCGGAGCUCUAUUUUUAGCCGGCGCUGUUGCAAUAUAAGGAAUGCGCGGCGCGCCAGGCGCUCGGGGCGCGCGCGGGCUGCGCGGUCGCUUUAA